Molecule: long non-coding RNA, 411 nt
Filed under: Dasypus novemcinctus (nine-banded armadillo)
Lineage: Eukaryota; Metazoa; Chordata; Mammalia; Cingulata; Dasypodidae
Description: lncRNA (ENSDNOG00000050255.1)
Source: RNAcentral
CUCCUUUUCCUGCCCCAAUUCUGGGUGGUCCCAGUGCAUUGCUUAGAUCUUCUUUCUCCAUUGAAUAUCCUCUUGUUUUAUCCUCCCACAGCUCUUCUGCCAAAACAUGCAUUCCAGUGACCUGAUGUCUGUGCUCAACCAGGAUGAGGGUACUUUCGGGGCUGCCCUUAUCAAGGAGAAUAGCACCUAGAGCCUCAAUGUCUGGGUUGGUCAUUAUCACCCUAAUAUGGCCCCCGACAUUGAAAAAGCUUGUGAAAAAGGAAGUGUUACCUGAUCCUUGAGAAAAUGCUGACUUGUUAACUGGAAAGAUCCAUGUCUGUGGCAAUUCUCAGCCUUUUCCAGGAAGAGUCUCCUCCCCAUGGUGAGACUCUCCUUGAACCAAUGCCACUAUCUACCUGUGACCUUGUCAUG